GGUUCCAUAGUGUAGCGGUUAGCAUGUCUGCUUUACACACAGAAGGUCCUGGGUUCGUGCCCCAGUGGAGCCA
Molecule: transfer RNA, 73 nt
Filed under: Pteropus alecto (black flying fox)
Lineage: Eukaryota; Metazoa; Chordata; Mammalia; Chiroptera; Pteropodidae
Rfam family: tRNA
About the family: Transfer RNA (tRNA) molecules are approximately 80 nucleotides in length.
Source: Rfam by way of RNAcentral